This 1230-nucleotide long non-coding RNA is filed under the name Equus caballus (horse). Its description in RNAcentral is "lncRNA (ENSECAG00000027961.3)". Lineage: Eukaryota; Metazoa; Chordata; Mammalia; Perissodactyla; Equidae. The record is from RNAcentral.
GCAGAACGUUCUCUUGGAUGGUUGGCAUCUCCCACACUUCUGAAUGUGUUAAUCCUUGUUUAACCUCGGGAAGGCAGAGUCUCCUGACUGUGGCCACCAUUUCUGGUACAGUAGUGUCCCCUGUCUAUGUACUGACAGCCCAUGGCAUACUAUACUGAAAUGACCUCUUUGGCCGUCUGGUCCACAUGCUCACUUGUGGGUCCUAUGGUGCUGUCUUAGUCUAACUUCCCUUGACCGCUUCUACUUCAAGAUAAACACACUUUCUCAAUUAUCUGCUUCAAUACCCAGUAUCCCGGAAGGAAGGAAUAUCAACCAUUCAGCAACAGAUUCCAAGAUUAAGUGCAUGAGCAAGAGUUUGAUCAAGUCUCCAUGGUGACGUGCUACAAAGAAGACACUGUUGGAUAAGAUCAAAUGGGAAUAGAAUUGCAAAGCAGGCACAGUUCCAGAAGCUUCCUUGUCUUUUGGAUGAUAAGAGAGAGAUGAUUUGAAAAAUCAAAUAGCCAAGUCUUUGAAGUUUUAGGAUUUCAGUUGGCUCACGCGCCAUGCUUUCUCGUGGCUAUGAGGAGUUCAAGCUGUUUGAGGUAGGAAGGGAGAGAAGAUUGAAGAAGGAAGCGUUUGGGAAAGAGGAGGUCCAAGCAGAUGCUGAGAGUUUCCCAUCUGUCUACCUCUCCCCGCUCUCCUAGUCUGUCAUCCGUCCUCCCAUUGUCACUUCAUUUGCCCCGGAGUCAUCCUUGAAGUCCUCACCCCAUGACCAACCAUCCUCACCUUACAACAUUCAUCCACGUUCGCAGAAGCUCUGCCUCUGUUUUCUCAGGGCGAAAAUCCUUAACAGUAUGUUACAGAUGAAGAAACAGAUUUUCAGAGAGGCAAGCAACUGAUCAAGCUCGUGUAGUCAAGCAACAAAGCUAGAGUCCUACCCAGCUGCUUAGGGAUGACACCUGUUGGUGGCAGGAACCAAAAGACACUUUGAGAAAUGCAGCUUUACCCAGCUGACUGAGAUCAGGGAAGAAUCCGAGAUCUUCCGCUCCCUUACCGGUUGCCCCUCGCUGAAGACAGCUCUCUAAAUUCACUUGCCGCCGGCCAUUACAUAUCCAAACUACUGAAAGAUUACUUUUGCUUUCUUUUCCAUCCCUUUAUUAUCUGCUCAUUUCAAAUAUCGAUUAAGCACCCCUGUGUGCCAGGCACUGUUCAAAUUUCUGAGUACAUAGCAAUAAACAAAACAGCCAAUAA